Molecule: long non-coding RNA, 1880 nt
Filed under: Capsicum annuum
Lineage: Eukaryota; Viridiplantae; Streptophyta; Magnoliopsida; Solanales; Solanaceae
Description: long non-coding RNA (CANN_LNC011343)
Source: RNAcentral
UUAACAACUAUUUAGACCAUUGGUCUGCUUGUUAUCCUUCCAAGUUCAACAGCAUAUUAUCUUUCAAACAUUAAGCCUGUGUGACGGAUUACAACCAGGUAAUAAGCUACCUAUGACUAAUUAAUUAUUAUGUGUGCACACUAGUUGUUUCACUUGAUGUCUGGUAUUAAUUUUGAAUUCUAAUUAAUCUGAAUUAACGCCAAAAAGGAAUAAUCGUCUUCAUCUAGAAUUUUACUUAUUCUCAGAACGUGAAUCUGAGACCACUUAUUAAGAUCUAAAGAACCAUUAUCCCACCUUACCUUGUGUUUGGAUGGUAGUUUCCCAUGGUAUGUUAUGGUAUAGUUAUUAAAGAAACUAUGUUUGUUUUGAUUGUUUCUUAAAGUGUAAGGUAUAGUAUGAUUUAAUUUCAUGAUUUGGUAACCAAAAAAACAUCCAUUUUAUUUAAUCACCCAUUUGGUUGUAUCUCAUGAUUUACUUUUUUUUUUCUCAAUUAUGUCCUUACUUAAUAUUAUAUAAUCUUAAUUUUUUUCUUCACCUUAUAUUAUUUAACUCUAUCUCUCCCAGUCAGACCCCACCCAAUUUUAAAAAAAAAAUUCAAAAAAUAUUUCAAAAAUUUGUUCUUACUCGAUCCUCAUCUCCAAUCCACCUCUAUUCCACUACCCCCACGCCCAAUUUUUUUUUUUUUAAAAAUAAAUUUUUAACCCCGCCACCCUUUAUCAAUUUGUUUUCAUUAUUUUGUGUUAAAUAUAUACAAAUGCUUUAAAAAAAAUAUUCUACAUGUGUUACAACACAAGAAAAUAAGUAAGAAACAAUUUAUUUUCUUGAAAAAUAAUUUUUUUUUUUUUGAAUUUCAUACCGAACACACCCGUAGCGUACACAAAAAAUACAUUCAGACUUUGUAUUUAUCGUCGAUGUUACGUCUCAAAACGUCAAAAAGAAAUGAAAUUUGUUAAUAUAAAAAAUAAUUCUGGUUAUAUUUAUUUGAUCUACUAUUUUAUUGACUUUGUUAGAAUUUACAUUAAUAUAACAACUUAAUAUAUCUACAUGGCAUAAUUAUGAUAAAUUAGUAGGAAGAAAAUUAUUUUAUUGACAAUUAUUGGUUAAUUUAUCAGUUAUAAUAAUCAAGGGUAUUUUAAUAAACUUACUAGUUACAAUAUAGUAUCAUACUGUCAAACCAAACAAUAAAACUGUCACUAAACAUUGUCAAACGAAAUGAUAAAACCGUCAUUAAACAUCAAUGAAUGAUACAAUCUAUCCAACAUUGUAUUGUACUAUAUUGUAUUAUACCAUACUAUACAGUACCAUACAUUAUGAAAUCAGGACAAACCACCAUCUAAACAAAGUGUUAGUAAUAUAUGAAUUAAUAUUGAUUAACUAUAUAUAUUAUAUAUUCUUAUAUUAAGUAUAUAUUCUUUUUGUCUUAAUAUGUAUUAUAUAGUUGUUAAUUCAGUUAUAUGAAUUUCGCUUACUUCAAUUUUUCCUUUGGAUAUUCUUUUUGUUGUUUUUUUACAUAUAUUUAAUUUUUUGGGAUAAAAUAUGAAAUUCAAAACAUAGAAGUUAGCUAAAGAAAAUAUAAUAAACUAUCUUUAAGUAUUAGUUAAGGAUUCUUGAAGAAUUCUUGAUCUUUCACGAGAAAUGGUAUUCAAAGAUCUUAAUUUGAAUCUCAGAAACGCAUUUCGACCAAGGAAAAGAUGUAUUAAAUCUGAAGCUAUCACAAGCAGCUUAGACAAAUAAAUAUAUAUUUAUAUAUACAUCUAAAUAAUCAUUACUAAUUAGUUGUAGGACAAAAGGCUAGCUUAUACAAGGAGGAUUGGGCAGCAUUAACUUGGGAAGGACAUAGUGGGUGACAAGGAUGCAAAAGCUGGAUAAGUAUUUUAUCG